GCAGAAGUAGCUUGGUUCCUGUGUUUCUGUGGCUGGCAGCUGCAGUUCCAAUUCAACCCCUAGCCUAGGAACUUGUAAAUGGCAUGGGUGCAGCUUUAAAAAAAAAAAGAAAGAAAAAAAAAAAGAAAUGUGGAUGAUGGCCCAUUUAUACCCUGGGCCUUUUGUGAUGGCCAGAUGAGGUGAAUGAAAUUUAAAAACUUUCUUUUUCUUAAAUUUCUGAAUCAGUAGACUUACGUUUUUUUAAUUUUAUUUUAUUAAUUGUGCUCUCACAAUUACUAGGGGUGUUCAAUCUUAUUUAUAUGACAAAAUACAAUCUUAACUGGUGUUGUUCACUGCUCCGUACUGCUUCAGAAUGAGGAGGUUGUAUAUUAACUAUUUGCCAGAGUAAUACAUGGAAAUUUCAAUUUUGUCAAAAAAUUUUAAACUCUUGUUGAUAACAACAAUUAAAAUCCAAUCAACGAAAAAUAGUUCAUCAUGGCACACCUGUGAAAAAUGGUCCUUAAUUGAAGAGUAAAUGUGUUAAUAUUGGGAAAGGAAUUAACAAAAUUUAGUUUUCAUGAUUAAAAAAUUGCCUUUACUUAUUUGCCUAUUUAUUUUGUUGCCAUAGUUCUCAAAGCUUCCAGGAGCUUAACUCUGCUUCCAUUACACUCCCUUGGUUUUUCUUCUGACACACACUCACUUUUUCCUAGAUUUAAAAUGAGUAAUUGUAGUUCCCGUUGUGGCUCAGUAGUAACGAAACUGACUAGGUAUGAGGUUGGGGUUGGAUCCCUGGCCUUGCUCAGUGUGUUAAGGAUCCAGCGUUGUCAAGAGCUGUGGUGUAGGUCACAAACAUGGCUCAGAUCCUGCAUGGCUGUGGCUGUGGCUGGCAGCUGCAGGUCUGAUUCAACCCCUAGCCUUGGAAGGUCACAAACCUUCAUGUGCUGCAAGCACGGCCCUAAAAAAAUUAAUAGAGUAAUAAACAGUCAUACAAAUGUGUGAAUAAUCCUUUACCAUUUGUAAUAAUUGGUUUGUUAGGGCUGCACCUGUGGUAUAGGGAGAUUCCCAGGCUAUGGGUCAAAUUGGAGCUACAGCUGCCGACCUACACCACAGCCACCCCAACAUCAGAUCAGAUCCAAGCCACAUCUGCAACCUACACCACAGCUCACAGCAACGCUGGAUCCUCAACCCACUGAGUAAGGCCAGGGAUCGAACUUGCAACCUCAUGGUUCGUAGUUGGAUUCGUUUCCACUGUGCCAUGGUGAUAUCUCCUGUAAUGAUUUUUUUUUUUAACAUCCUUCACUAUUUGCCCAUUACAGCUUUCUUGUGAGAUUAGUCAUGUUAUUUUACAUGAAAUGAACAGGGAAACUGAGAUGUAUUAAAAUACAGGAGUAGACUCUCAAAUUCAAGUUUCUAAAUCAGUGCUAUUUUUCCUGCUUAUCAAAAUUGCACAGUCUUAAAACAUAAGAAAAUUUGUUGUUUAAAUCAUCUAGUGCCCAUCUUCCAUCUAUACUUAUUUCUUCCAGGUUUGUAGCCCAGCUUGGUUUUGAAAAAGGAAAAUAUCUUAUUAUCUUCACAAAGAACUGUAUUUCUUGGAAAUCAGAAAGCCUGUCCUGUUGCAUUUAUGUCUGUCCAGAAUCUCACUGACUGCCAUUUAUAACUGAUUAGAGACCUGGGAUUUUUCCUGGUUACACCUCAGUGACUACUGCUUUAUAGCUUAGCUGCGUUAACACCUUCAAAAUCUGUUUAUGUGCAAAACCAUCAAAUACAGUUGCCUUCUGAAUGAAUUACUCUUUUGACUUUGUUUUGGUCAGUUUGCAAAUGCCUUUCUAGAACUGUAAUCUCUCUAUAAUUUAUGUGUGAAAAGAUUAUAUCUUAUUUUGUAUGCUAGGAUUUCUUUAAAAUUAUUUAUUAUUCAUGUUACAUUUUACACUGGCGCUGGUCUAUGCAGAUUUUAAAUGUGUUUGUCAUAUACCAUUAGUCACUGUGUGAAAUCUCUCAGUAAUAGUUACCCCUUGAAUUUUCUGCUGCUAAGGAGAAUUUAACACUGAUUGAUGGCAGAUCACUUAGCUGGUUGGCAGGCUUUCCAAUUUACGGUAAGGAAAUUGCUCUUUUCUUUUUGUUCAUUCCUCUGCUGCUUGUGCCGAGCAGUAAGACAUAUGUGCCAGACUGUAUGCAAGAAGCAGCUCUGGAUUGGCAAUACUGUGUGUCUCUUUUACAAUUAUGAUUUUAUCAGUUUCCCAAACUGUACAGGGAAUGUCAAAUAUCUGCAAUGACAGUCUUCCAUUAUUGCAGGCAGCUUAUUUAUGUCACUUGUGCUCUAGCUUCUCAUCUGCACCGCAUAACCUACCCUCUCAUUCAUGAUAAAGUGUCCUAGAGCCCAAAAGAAAGAAGUUUGUGUUUCGUUCAGAACCCCCAGGUUUUUGGCUCAUGGGCUGCUGACCAGCUCUAUCAUCUUUUUUUUCCUCCUCUAGGCAUGCUCAGGAGAGUUCAUCAGGUUGUGUUAGAUAUAUUAGUUAGAUAUUGGCCUCAAGUAACAGAAAACUCAACCUAGCUUAUCUUAAACAGUGAAUUAUUCUUUUUCAAAGAACAAGAAAUCCCCAAAGUGCGUGGUUUCUAUCACUGGUUCAGUGGCUCACAAAUGUCUUCAGUGACACCAGCUUUUCUUGUCUUUCUAUGCCAUUGGGUAUAAACAUUGGCCAUGACUUUCAGGUGACUGAAGUCUCUGGGUGGGCCAGAUUCUUAGCACUGUUGCUCAUUGUUAAAAGCAAGUAACAUGUGAUCAUUGUGUGAAUGGGAUUCAGAAUUGCCCUUUACCAAUAGAGGUCUCAAUGAUUUGACUUAGUGUUGCAAUUCAGAAACCUAAAAAUUGUACUUUGUAUUAAACAUUCAUUCACUGAACAAGUAUUUUAUGAAUGCUAAAUAUAUGAUCAGAAUUUGGUACCAGGAAUAAACCAGUGAAUUAACCAUAUGAAAAUCUUUGUCCUCAGGUAUCAUACAUUUUCUAUCCAAUUUAAUUAUCUCAUUGAAAUAAUUGCUUCAUCAUAAACACAUUAAAUAAAUGCUGCCUUCUCUAUGCAGUUUUCUUAAUACUUUACCUAUAAUGCCUCAUUUAGUGGAAUGCUGGCAUAGACUUUGUACCAGCUUGCAGGAGUCGAUUGUAAAAUUCUCAGGAAUUUUGCAAGACAGUUAUUAAAUGUGACCAUGACUUAAAAAUAACUAUAUAAACUCAUUUAUUAAAUUAUAAGAAAACCCAAUGUAAUAGAUAAUAACAAUUAUUACUUCAUAAUAGUUUUACUAUAAUCCGUAUUCUGGCUUUAUUUAUGAUGAUUAUAUGACAAUGGUAGAAAUACCAUGGAAGGAUAUGUUACAAGCUGCUUCCCAACUCCAUGUACAGUGACAAAGCAUUAAAAUCUGACACAGUGGGAAAUAAACACCAUGACAAUCAGCAAAUAUAUGUCUAUGAUACUUAGGUUUCCUGGGGAACCAGUUGUUAAACAUUUACCAUCAUACCAUAGGUCCCAUCCAACUGAGAAUAUCUUCUUCUGUUAACUUUUACGGCAUUUAUUUUUGGUACAACCUACUCAUUAAUUCUUUGAACCAACAUUUGCUCAGCAUGUGUUGAAUGUUAGGCAGUGGAUAAGAAGAUGAAGAUUCAGAAGUGAGGACAAAAUUGUCUUUGUUUUGAAAUCAUAGAGAGUCUAAGAAGAGUCGGACAAAAGAACAAACAAUGGACAUCAUAAUAGCUGCACUAGAGAAGAGGAGAUAAAACAAUGGCAAUAAUUAAUAGUAGGUGAGUCAGAGACCUUGGGACUUGAAGACAAAGAUAUUGUCCAGGCAGAAAAGGCAAGAAGGGCGCCCUUCUACAAAGAGGAAGAUGCUUAUAAAAGGUUGGAGGUUUUAAAUAGCUGGGUGAGUCUGCAUGCUAAUUUCUCAGUUUGGCUAAAGACAUUUGCAGGGGAAUGGUAGCAAGCCAAGGGAGGAGAGCUGCUCAAGGACCAGGUCACAGAAAACCAUGUUUUUAUUGUCUUGCAUUCCCCAAGAGAUACCACAAUGUUUGGAAUGUAAACAUUACUCAAUAUAUAUUCACUGAAUAAGUGCCUUUUACGACAAUGGGGAACUUUGAAUCAUUGUUCUUUGAGUUUCAAGUAUUUGCCUUAUGCAGCUAUUCUACCUUUACAGACAGGGGUGGAUUUCUUGAUAGCAGAGCCCCAUGUAUUAAGAUCUUAACUAACAACGAUUUCUUAAACCUGUCUGGUCUUCUUAGAAUUUUAACUUCCAUCCAUCCAACCUUCCUUUUUUAUGAAUUAUUGUUUGACAACUUUUGGAGGUAUAAUUUAUGUACAAAAUCACACACAUUUAAUGUAUACAAUUUCAUGAGUGCAAACAGAUGCACACACCUGUGAAGCUAUCUCCACAAUCAAGAUAAUAAAUACAUCAUCAUCUCUAAAAGGUCAUUUGAAACGCUUUUAUUUUGGUGGUAAUAAAACUUAACAUGUAAUGUACUUAAGAAAUGUAAAUGCACGAAACAUAAUUAUUAAUGACAGGAACUGUGCUAUACAGCAGAUCUCUGCAAGUCAUGACUAUUGCAUAAGGUAAAACUUUAUACCUAUUUAACAAUUAUUCUCCAUUUUUCUCUCCCCCCCAGCUAUUGGCAGUCUCAAUUUUGUUCUUUGCUUCCAUGAGUUUGACUAUUUUAGAUGCCUCAUAAAUGUGGAAUAAUGCAAAGUUUUCCUUCUGUGAUUGGCUUACUUCACUUAACAGGUCAUCUAUAUUGUUCUCCAUGGCGGGGUUUCCUUCUUUAAGGUGAAAUGGUAUUCCAUUGUAUGUACAGACAAAAUUUUCUUUAUCCACUAAUUUUUUUUUUUUUUUUUUUUUUUUUUUUGUAUUUUUAGGGCUGCACCGACAGUGUAUGGAGGUUCCCAAGCUAGAGGGGUUGAAUCGGAGCUGGAGCCACCAGCCUAUGCCAGAGCCACAGCAACGCGGGAUCUGAGCCGCGUCUGCAACCUACACCACAGCUCACAGCAACGCCGGAUCCUUAACCCACUGAGCAAAGGCAGGGACCGAACCCGCAACCUCAUGGUUCCUAGUCGGAUUCGUUAACCACUGCGCCACGAUGGGAACUCCCCAUCUGCCCAUUUUUAAAUCAAGUUUUUUUUUUUGCUAUUGACUUGUGUGAGUCAUUUACAUAUUUUGGAUAAAUCAACUUACCAGAUACAUGAUUUGCAAAUAUCUUCUCCCAUUUGAUAGAUUGCCUUUUCAUUUUGCCUUUUUAGUGCUGAAGCUUUUUAGAUUGUUAGAGUCCCACUUGUUGGUUUUGGCUUUUGGUGUCAAAACCAAAAAAAAAAAAAAAAAAAAAAAAAA
Molecule: long non-coding RNA, 5340 nt
Filed under: Sus scrofa (pig)
Lineage: Eukaryota; Metazoa; Chordata; Mammalia; Artiodactyla; Suidae
Description: lncRNA (ENSSSCG00065058316.1)
Source: RNAcentral